Quercus robur (English oak) is the source of this 329-nucleotide long non-coding RNA. RefSeq lists it as uncharacterized. The transcript is spliced from 3 exons. The record is from RefSeq and is a predicted model, not a curated record. Lineage: Eukaryota; Viridiplantae; Streptophyta; Magnoliopsida; Fagales; Fagaceae.
AUUUAGUUUAACUCUACAUCCUCCUUUCUUUUUCUUCAGAUUAAAGACAUUUACUGUCAGAGGCUUCAACAAAUUUUCAGGUAUUGUGAUCCAAAGACAGGGCUGCCUUAUGCUACAAAAGAAGCAUUCAAAAUCAUUCGUAAACAGUUAAACAAUGUUAUGUACAUGUGCAAAGAACAUGAGGAUAUUAGCAAGAUGGGAGAACAAUUGACUGCCUUGGCUUUUGAUCUAAGAGAGAUGUAUUUUUUUUAAAGUAAAUAUUAUGUAUUGUAAGUAGCUGACUUUUUUUUUGCCAUUUAUUCAUUUUAUUGAGAAACUACCUUUUGAUU